AUUUCUAAAUUGCUGAAACCAUAUGGUAUGGGGGAACCAUUUUCGUGGGUUGAUAUACAAUCCAAGGGGUGAAUCCUUUAGAAGGUAGGGCUAUUAAAAAGGGCCGAAUCCGACAGCUAACCUAAGUAAGUGUAUAUGAAAAAGAAG
RNAcentral lists this small RNA (147 nucleotides) under Bacillus sp. (in: firmicutes). RNAcentral's name for it is "Bacillus sp. c-di-AMP sequence". It matches the Rfam family "c-di-AMP riboswitch aptamer (ydaO/yuaA leader)". From Rfam's summary of the family: This family represents a conserved RNA structure found upstream of the ydaO and yuaA genes in Bacillus subtilis and related genes in other bacteria. The ydaO/yuaA element is thought to act as a genetic "off" switch for the ydaO and yuaA genes in its native state. The record is from RNAcentral. RNAcentral also lists the same sequence under 1 other name. Lineage: Bacteria; Bacillati; Bacillota; Bacilli; Caryophanales; Bacillaceae.